Molecule: ribosomal RNA, 497 nt
Filed under: uncultured bacterium
Lineage: Bacteria
Description: partial 16S ribosomal RNA
Rfam family: Bacterial small subunit ribosomal RNA
Source: RNAcentral
GAUGAACGCUGGCGGCGUGCCUAAUACAUGCAAGUCGAGCGAACAGACGAGGAGCUUGCUCCUCUGACGUUAGCGGCGGACGGGUGAGUAACACGUGGAUAACCUACCUAUAAGACUGGGAUAACUUCGGGAAACCGGAGCUAAUACCGGAUAAUAUAUUGAACCGCAUGGUUCAAUAGUGAAAGACGGUUUUGCUGUCACUUAUAGAUGGAUCCGCGCCGCAUUAGCUAGUUGGUAAGGUAACGGCUUACCAAGGCAACGAUGCGUAGCCGACCUGAGAGGGUGAUCGGCCACACUGGAACUGAGACACGGUCCAGACUCCUACGGGAGGCAGCAGUAGGGAAUCUUCCGCAAAGGGCGAAAGCCUGACGGAGCAACGCCGCGUGAGUGAUGAAGGUCUUCGGAUCGGAAAACUCUGUUAUUAGGGAAGAACAAAUGUGUAAGUAACUAUGCACGUCUUGACGGUACCUAAUCAGAAAGCCACGGCUAACUACGUG